RNAcentral lists this long non-coding RNA (454 nucleotides) under Setaria viridis. RNAcentral describes it as "long non-coding RNA (SVIR_LNC004727)". Lineage: Eukaryota; Viridiplantae; Streptophyta; Magnoliopsida; Poales; Poaceae. The record is from RNAcentral.
AAACCAGCGGGAAAAUGAAAAGCGAGGGCCUUUAGUCCGGGUUGUAAAAUCCAGCUGGGACUAAAGGUACUCUCUAGUCCCGGUUGGAAUUUACAACCGGGACUAAAGGUCCCCACUUAGUCCCGGGUUGAAUUUGCAAUAGGAAUUGAAGGCCCUUUAAUCCCAGUUGCUAAUUCAACUCGGGACUAGGGGGGUGUUAUAACGUCCGCCCCCUGAUCCCCCACCUUGUUUCCUCCUCAGUUCACUCCGCCACCUCGUUUGCUCGUCUCUCCGGCACCCUCCCCUGGCCUCCCCUCGCGCACCGCCAUACACAGCCGUCUACCGCGACCCGUUGUUGUUGCUGCAUUUCACCUCCGUGCCCCGGAUCCCCGGCCACCCCUUAACCUCCUCGCCCCGGAUCCCCAGCGGCGCCCUCCCAGCCCGCCGCGCACCUCGUCGUUCGCUGUCCGCCCCG